This 867-nucleotide long non-coding RNA is filed under the name Homo sapiens (human). RNAcentral describes it as "long non-coding RNA NONHSAT192114.1". The stretch from base 1 to 75 matches the Rfam family "mir-650 microRNA precursor family". Lineage: Eukaryota; Metazoa; Chordata; Mammalia; Primates; Hominidae. The record is from RNAcentral.
GCAGCACUCUCGGGACGUCUCCACCAUGGCCUGGGCUCUGCUCCUCCUCAGCCUCCUCACUCAGGGCACAGGAUCCUGGGCUCAGUCUGCCCUGACUCAGCCUCGCUCAGUGUCCGGGUCUCCUGGACAGUCAGUCACCAUCUCCUGCACUGGAACCAGCAGUGAUGUUGGUGGUUAUAACUAUGUCUCCUGGUACCAACAGCACCCAGGCAAAGCCCCCAAACUCAUGAUUUAUGAUGUCAGUAAGCGGCCCUCAGGGGUCCCUGAUCGCUUCUCUGGCUCCAAGUCUGGCAACACGGCCUCCCUGACCAUCUCUGGGCUCCAGGCUGAGGAUGAGGCUGAUUAUUACUGCUGCUCAUAUGCAGGCAGCUACACUUUCCACAGCACAGCACCUGUGCCCUACCCUAGGAGCUCACAGCCAAGGCCAACCCCACUGUCACUCUGUUCCCGCCCUCCUCUGAGGAGCUCCAAGCCAACAAGGCCACACUAGUGUGUCUGAUCAGUGACUUCUACCCGGGAGCUGUGACAGUGGCCUGGAAGGCAGAUGGCAGCCCCGUCAAGGCGGGAGUGGAGACCACCAAACCCUCCAAACAGAGCAACAACAAGUACGCGGCCAGCAGCUACCUGAGCCUGACGCCCGAGCAGUGGAAGUCCCACAGAAGCUACAGCUGCCAGGUCACGCAUGAAGGGAGCACCGUGGAGAAGACAGUGGCCCCUACAGAAUGUUCAUAGGUUCCCAACUCUAACCCCACCCACGGGAGCCUGGAGCUGCAGGAUCCCAGGGGAGGGGUCUCUCUCCCCAUCCCAAGUCAUCCAGCCCUUCUCCCUGCACUCAUGAAACCCCAAUAAAUAUCCUCAUUGACAACC